Molecule: ribosomal RNA, 484 nt
Filed under: uncultured bacterium
Lineage: Bacteria
Description: partial 16S ribosomal RNA
Rfam family: Bacterial small subunit ribosomal RNA
Source: RNAcentral
AUUGAACGCUGGCGGCAGGCCUAACACAUGCAAGUCGAGCGGAUGAAGGGAGCUUGCUCCUGGAUUCAGCGGCGGACGGGUGAGUAAUGCCUAGGAAUCUGCCUGGUAGUGGGGGAUAACGUCCGGAAACGGGCGCUAAUACCGCAUACGUCCUGAGGGAGAAAGUGGGGGAUCUUCGGACCUCACGCUAUCAGAUGAGCCUAGGUCGGAUUAGCUAGUUGGUGGGGUAAAGGCCUACCAAGGCGACGAUCCGUAACUGGUCUGAGAGGAUGAUCAGUCACACUGGAGCUGAGACACGGUCCAGACUCCUACGGGAGGCAGCAGUGGGGAAUAUUGGACAAUGGGCGAAAGCCCGAUCCAGCCAUGCCGCGUGUGUGAAGAAGGUCUUCGGAUUGUAAAGCACUUUAAGUUGGGAGGAAGGGCAGUAAGUUAAUACCUUGCUGUUUUGACGUUACCAACAGAAUAAGCACCGGCUAACUUCGUG